Desulfobulbaceae bacterium A2 is the source of this 238-nucleotide non-coding RNA. The record is from Rfam. Lineage: Bacteria; Pseudomonadati; Thermodesulfobacteriota; Desulfobulbia; Desulfobulbales; Desulfobulbaceae.
CGAAUCCCGUCCCGGAAGGUCUAGCCCCCCACCGGGUAGCGAGUCCUUGGAGCGUUGCGGGUAACUUCGACGUUCAAGCGUAGGACAGCGAGACGACAGGCCGUAAGCCGCAAGGCUGAAGUGAUUGAGCCCCGAAAUCAUCGAGCCGGGAAGGAUGACGUUGUUGCGAUGGCGGAAAUCAACACGGGCGGGCGAGAGACAGGCGAGCCCCAACCCGUUUCCCCGGGGUCUGAGAGCA